This 69-nucleotide transfer RNA is filed under the name Caloranaerobacter azorensis. It matches the Rfam family "tRNA". Rfam says of the family: Transfer RNA (tRNA) molecules are approximately 80 nucleotides in length. Lineage: Bacteria; Bacillati; Bacillota; Tissierellia; Tissierellales; Thermohalobacteraceae. RNAcentral also lists the same sequence under 1 other name. The record is from RNAcentral.
CGGAAGUGGCUCAGUGGUAGAGCAUCGCCUUGCCAAGGCGAGGGUCGCGGGUUCGAGUCCCGUCUUCCG